This 419-nucleotide ribosomal RNA is filed under the name bacterium. RNAcentral describes it as "partial 16S ribosomal RNA". It matches the Rfam family "Bacterial small subunit ribosomal RNA", at positions 355 to 776 of the family's 1533-position model. The record is from RNAcentral.
UGGGGGAUAUUGCACAAUGGGCGAAAGCCUGAUGCAGCGACGCCGCGUGGGGGAUGAAGGCCUUCGGGUUGUAAACUUCUUUUGCUCUGAACAAGGCGCACCAUGGGGUGUGUUGAGUGUAGGGGUUGAUUAGCGCCGGCUAACUACGUGCCAGCAGCCGCGGUAAUACGUAGGGCGCGAGCGUUGUCCGGAAUUAUUGGGCGUAAAGGGCUUGUAGGUGGCUGGUUGCGUCUGUCGUGAAAGCUCAUGGCUUAACUGUGGGUUUGCGGUGGGUACGGGCUGGCUUGAGUGCAGGAGUGGAGGCUGGAAUUCCUGGUGUAGCGGUGGAAUGCGCAGAUAUCAGGAGGAAUACCGGUGGCGAAGGCGGGUCUCUGGGCUGUUACUGACACUGAGGAGCGAAAGCAUGGGGAGCGAACAGG